CAGCCGCCACGGGAAUACGAAGGGGGCUAGCGUUGCUCGGAAUGACUGGGCGUAAAGGGCGCGUAGGCGGCGAUCAAAGUCAGGCGUGAAAUUCCUGGGCUCAACCUGGGGGCUGCGUUUGAUACUUGAUUGCUAGAGUGGGGAAGAGGGUCGUGGAAUUCCCAGUGUAGAGGUGAAAUUCGUAGAUAUUGGGAAGAACACCGGUGGCGAAGGCGGCGACCUGGUCCUUGACUGACGCUGAGGCGCGAAAGCGUGGGGAGCAAACAGGAUUAGAUACCCCGGUAGUCCCUGUCUCUUAUAC
This 301-nucleotide ribosomal RNA is filed under the name uncultured bacterium. Its description in RNAcentral is "partial 16S ribosomal RNA". It matches the Rfam family "Bacterial small subunit ribosomal RNA", at positions 509 to 807 of the family's 1533-position model. The record is from RNAcentral.